CCAGGCACUGUUUUGUUCUGCUGGACCCAGGGUCACUAGGAGUUGCAACCAACUCAACAGCACCUUACAACAACAACAAUAUACAAUGCCAACAAAUUAUAUUGGAACAUUAUAUUACAUGUAAUUAGCAUUCUCGAAACACUUAAUGAAGAAUAUGUAACAUAGAACAUACUGAUUUUUGGCAGUCUCUUGUAGGCAGAAAUACUCUGCCUUUUUAUUUCAGUUUAACUGUUUAUCAGAAAAAUAAAUAACUUGCUUUCAAAUGGUUGAACCUACUAUUACAAGUAAUGGAGUCUAAGAGGCUACCACAUUAUUUAAGGUGAAUGUUCAAAAUCAAAUGACUUAUUCACUUUAAAGAAAAAAGGGAAAAACCAUUUAUUUUUAUAUUACAAUUAUGUACACAUAACAAUUGAAUGGCUUUAUAUAAACUCAUCUAGAAAACCAUAUAAAUUUAUACACAGUAAUCUACAUAUAAGGAGUCCCAGUAGCAUAAUGGUUAAGUGCUCCACUGCUAACCAAAAGGUCAGUGGUUCAAACCCACCAGCGGCUCCAAGGGAGAAAAGAUGUGGUGGUCUGCUCCCAUAAAGAUUACAGCUUAGAAAACCCUAUGGGGCAGUUCUACUGUGUCAUAUAGGAUCACUAUGAGUCAGAAUUGACAGCACACAACAACACCAAUCUACAUAAUAUAUAUAGAAGAUGUAUACACAGAUAUAGUAUAUAAACACAUGGUUUUGAUGAUUAUACCACAUUCCAGCUUAUUUCCAUAUACUCAAAUCUGGGAAACUUCAGAUUUGGGAAAACCCACAUUCAAAAUACGUGUACCUUUUCCCAGAUUCUUUGUUUCCAAGAUAAACUAAACAAUGGCACAAACUGUGAGAAAAACAAAUUAAUAAGCAAUGAAAAGAGCUGGCACAAUAACCAAAAUGAAACGGAAAGGCCUCCCGAAGACUUACAAGCGAACAACACGUGUCUCAGCCAUCUAAAGUCAUGGUGUGAUAUUCGAUCCUAUAAUCUGCUUCUGGGGGUAAGAAUUCUACUAGAAAUGUAAUUGGCUUUAAUAUUUUGACCUGUUAAUUGAAUUUUUAAAAACUGAAAUACACACUAGAUUGCCCAUUAUGCCACACAUCAUUAAAAAGAAAUUUAAGUCUUUCCGACUCAAAUCAUAGCUAGCCUUCCAUAAGGACUUAGCUAUAAUGAUACACAGGACUGUCUUGUUCAUAACAAUUCACAUGUGAUAACAAUGAGACACUUAGACCAAGAAUAAUGUAGAAUUCCGAAUCCAAUACUUUCACUUUAUGUCUUCAGUGAAAUAUAUUAUGCUUCUGUGUUAACCGAAGUUAACUGUGUUACUUUCUUUUGUCAUUUUUAGUGCCACUGAUAAAAAAAAGUCUUCCCUUUCUCUAUUCCAGGUUUAAGAUCAGGAGUACACAGGAAGAGGAAGUAAAGAAUUAAAGGAAAAGUCAUAGUGAUCAUAAAAAUAACAAAAGGCCUGCCUUGACAUCACAGGCCAGUUCCCUACAGAGGUUACUUGUACCUUUACAAAAGAAGAGGAAGGAAAGAAAAACUUGUAUGUGUGCUGAAUGUUCAGCAAUAAAUUUACUACCCAGCUGUCUGGCACUUGAAAACAAACUGCAUUAUUUUUGUAGUAGGGCCAUAAUUCAGUUCUCAAGAAAACCAGACAUUUAAAAGUCCAAUAAAAGGGAUGGAGUUGGAGCUCAUCACCAGGAACAGACUGAAUACCUGCGUGUGCCCAUAGUGGUGUAACUUACAAGCAAGUAAUCCACUGUGUGUUGUGAUGGAAAGAGAGGAUUGAGAACUGUUUUACCAGGGCACACAAAUUCUGUUGACUCUGGAGGGCCUUUGGACUCUCUAGCUCCUGGUUUCUUAGUUUUUUGGGAAUAUAAUCCAUCUCCCUGAAAUUAGCAUCUUGUAAUGUGCUUCAAGUUGGCUUGUUAGUAUGACUUCUAUUAUCUCAGCUUUUUUGGUGUAAUAUUUAUGGAGCAUCUACUAUGUGACAGGCACAUCACUCAACUUUGCUUCCUCCUUGCUCAUGCUAAUAACCACAGAAUUGGAAGUUGAGAAAUACUAAUUUAUUUGAAAUGCUAGAAAGUGUGUUAAGUUACAAUAAUUAUAAUAAAUGAAUUCUAAAAGGUGUGUAACCUGAAAAAUGUUUGUAUACAUAAAUAAAUAUUACAGGAUGUAUAUGUAUAUGAAAGUGAUACACGCCUGUCAUGUGUUACUGGUUGGGGAACACCUCAAGGCUUCCCCAAAGACUGUCCACAUAAACCAGCUUAGCUCAGGGUCCUCUCAGAAGGGUCCAAUAAACAUUUGUUCAUGGUGAUGAUGAUGAUGCUAAUGAUUUUAAAGAUGGUGCUAGGAGCUGGACCCCUUGUAGGAAUAUCUGCAUAGGAAAGAAUCAAUGUAGUUUGAAAAAAGCAAAAUAAACAUUUUAAAUAAUUUGAUAUGUUUUGUCAAGAUCUUUACUUCACUUUGAAAUUUCAAAAAGAAAAUAAUGUUAGAUGGUUAUACAAAUUGAAAAAGAGUUUAAGUAUAAAAUAUUUUAAGACACAGAAACUGAUCCUAGGCAAAUGGAGGGAGACAGGUUUCUCACUGUUAAGGGUGGAAGGUUACAGACAAGCAAAGGGGUAAUCCUAGAAUGAUUUAUGUGGUAUUGGAUUAAGGCUGGAGACAUCAGUAUGAACUCACGUUUAGCUUAAUAUAUAUACAGAUGGAUAUAUAGACAACUAUGUGGUUAAGAGCUCGGGUGCUAACCAAAGGGUAAGCAGUUCGAAUCCACUAGCAGCUCCUUGGAAACCCUAUGGAGCAGUUCUACUCUGUCCUAUAGAGUU
Trichechus manatus latirostris (Florida manatee) is the source of this 2849-nucleotide long non-coding RNA. RefSeq lists it as uncharacterized. The transcript is spliced from 3 exons. The record is from RefSeq and is a predicted model, not a curated record. NCBI's taxonomy places the organism in Eukaryota, Metazoa, Chordata, Mammalia, Sirenia, Trichechidae.